Molecule: long non-coding RNA, 6170 nt
Filed under: Brassica napus (rape)
Lineage: Eukaryota; Viridiplantae; Streptophyta; Magnoliopsida; Brassicales; Brassicaceae
Description: long non-coding RNA (BNAP_LNC007125)
Source: RNAcentral
CCAUUGUUACGGGAAAGCUGCAGCAACCAGAAAUUGAAGUGAAUCACUCCGAAGGGACCCUGCCACCUGAGGAGUUUAUGUUCUCGUACAUUGAUCCUCAAGGAGUAAUACAGGGACCGUUCAUUGGAUCUGACAUUAUUUCAUGGUUUGAGCAAGGGUUUUUUGGGACUGAUCUACAGGUCCGCUUGGCAACUGCUCCAGAAGGGACUCCUUUUCAAGAUCUAGGCAGUGUCAUGUCGUAUUUAAAGACGGAAAGUAUGCAAGCCCACAUCAAUGAUCAAAUCAUCGAGCUAGAAGAGACUAAUAGAAAAGCAAAUUCGGAGAUUGGUUUAUCAUUUGCACCCGUACAAGAAUCUAAUGGUUCAGCCUUAGGUCACGAUAAUGUUCAAAUGAAGUCUAAAUCAGAAGCUUAUGUGAAACCACCACAUGUUGAUGACCGAAGUUUCUUGGACUAUUCUGCUCAAGAUGAAGGUUUGUUAUUCUACUGACCUUUUCUCACUUGUGUGCAUUUGUGUGGUAUAAGACAUUUCUUUCUUCGGUUUUAUAUGCUUGUGUUCAUGAUAACUAAACAUACUUUUCUAUUUUUUUCUUAUUCAGAAAUCGUAUUCCCAGGAAGAGCUGGAGUUUCUGGUUAUGGAUCGGCAAAAUCCUCUACAAGUAUGCAUGAUGCUUUAAUGGGAGUUUCUGGCCACCCUGCUAUUCCUGUUGAAUCAGCGAAGGUUGCUACUCAAAAUCAGAAUGAGAAUAAGCUGCAUCCGUUUGGUGUGUUGUGGUCUGAGCUAGAGAGCAGUAAUACACCAGUUGAUCUUUUGCCUAACAGGUCGUAUGAUACAGGACAUGACCAGAAGUAUCUUGAUCAAGCUCAGGAUUUGGAUCAUUUAUUAACUCUCAAAUUGCAGCAGCAGCAGCAGCAACAAAAGAUUCAUUUGCAGCAGCAGCAGAAGAUUCAGUUGCAACAACGUCAACUAGAGCAAGAGUAUCAAUUACAACAGAAGCUCUUACAGGAGCAACAACAGUCCCAUGCUCGGAAUUUACAUUUUCAACAGAUUCUUCAGGGACAGACUCCUGAUUCAAGACUUGGGCAGUCGCAUGACUUCCAUCGACUCAACAAUGUUGAUCAGAUGUUAUUAGAGCAGCAACUAAUGGAUGAAUUGCAGAGUUCUGGCCAUAGAUCACAAAAUUUUACACCGUACAUGGAGCAGCUUGCCGCUGGAAAUUUUGGGCAGUUACCACAUGAAGGUCAUCAAAAAGAGCUACUUGAACAGCUACUUUCCGAACAAAUGCAAUCUCAGUACAGACAGAUGCAUUCUCAACAUGGACACAUGCAAUCUGAACCAAUACGGUCUUUGGAGUACCAGCUACUGCAACAAGAUCAGCUCAUGCAAUUGGCUAAUGGAGGGAGGCAAAAUACAUUAUUGGAGGAACUGAGACAUAUUGACCCUCAACAUGGACACUUGCAGUCUCAGCCAAUACGGUCUUCGGAGUACCAAUUGAUGCAGCAAGAGCAGCUCAUGCAAUUGGCAAAUAGAGCGAGGCACAAUACCCUAUUGGAGGAACAUAGACAUAUUGAUCCUCUAUGGCCAUCCAACCGUAACGAUCAGCUUCUAGGAGCUCAUCCUGGGAUCAACCGUUCACACUCUUCUGCGGGAUUUAGACCAGUAGACUUUCAUCAACAGCAGCAGGGGCCACCCUUUGAGGAUCACUUUAGUCAUCUUGAGCGGAACCUUUCAUAUCAGCAACAACUUAAUCAGGAAUUAUUCGAGCAAGGUCUACCCUUUGAGCGAUCUACAUCGUUACCCAGAAAUACAUCGGGGCUGAAUCUGGAUGCUGUAAAAGGUCUUAACUUCUCUGAGUUGCGGGAUGCCCAGAUGCAAUCCUCUGGUAGAUUAGGAAAUUCUACUCCGGGUUUCAGUCAUCAGAAUCCCCAUAUACAAUUAGGUGAACGUCAUUUUUCAGAAAUGGAACCAAGGAAAGAACGCUGGCAUGGAGCAGAUACACAGCUAGCUGGUGGCUGGGCUGAAACUCAGUUUCAUAGACUAAAUACUGAAGCUGACCAUCAUAAAAUGAGGUCAGAAAUGAGGAGAGCUGGCGAAGAUUCCAACUCAUGGAUGGUAGAUGGACAUACGGAUGAAAAGUCAAAACAGCUUUUUAUGGAGUUGCUUCACCAGAGGCCUGGCCAUCAACCUCUCGAAUCACCAAGCAUGAAUCGUGGGGAACCCUAUGACAGGAUGGCUGCUUCAGGCUUCGGCUUUGCAGACCAUGGUGGUAGGCAAAACGCUUCAUCUUCUUUUGGGUCGCACGCAUCUUCUGAUGAACAUGUAAACGGAUUACCAGGAGAUGGGAACUAUAUGGGAUCGUUGCAGCGUGAUAAUUCAUUACUUUCUGGAAGUACCGAUGGUGGAAGAAAAAAUGAAACUAAAGACUUCAGUAAUAUGCUUGGUAUGAGCAAAGACGUGAAUGACAUCAGAACGUGGAACAAUGCACCACCGAAAAAGGAAGGAGCGGGGUUGAUGUCAUUUGAAGCACAAGACAGAAUGGGAAAGCAAGCAGUAAUGGAUUCCUUGGUUCAAGGGGAGGUUCCUGUUGCUACGCUUGGCAGACAGUCUUCUUCCAGUAUCUCUGGUAUGUAUCUUCCAGAGUUUAGAUUUCCUUUUCCCUGAAUAUAUCAUGUUUUUUUUUGUUAUGGGGGCUUAUGUUGAUAUUUUCUUUCUGCAGAGUCAUACAGUGACAACUUGGUUGGAGAAGUUAGAAAGGAUAGGUAAUUUUGUACUCUUAACGUUUAGCAACCGUAGAUUAGGUUAGUAGUAAAUCGCCAUGUGAGCUCUUAUUUGAUGAAAUGUUUUUAUUGUUAUAGGUUGGUAGUUCCAUCACACGGGCAGGUAUCAGUUUUGUUAAAAAGGCCUCCCUCAUCGCAUGAGGGAUUGCUCGAGCAGAUGUCCGAUGCAACUAACAGAACAGCAGUGGGAAAUAAAGGGUCAAAGGCGUCGUUCAGUGAGAUGUUGAAGAAUAGUAGUAGCAAUAGCAGCAUGAAGAAAGUGGCAGCAGAGCCAUCUUCUGAUCCAAACGAAGGAAACAAAGGCGGUGGUGGGAAGAAGAAAGGCAAGAAAGGGAGGCAGCUUGAUCCAGCUCUUCUCGGUUUCAAAGUCACUAGCAAUCGCAUUCUUAUGGGUGAAAUUCACCGCGCUGAUGACUUUUAGUCAAUUCUGAUACCCUGAGAUCCAUUCAAGCGUUUCUUCUUCUCCGGCGUAAUCAUGGUAUAAUUCGAUCUUUGCUUAUAAGUAAACCCUUCUUAUGUUUUUGUUUCUCUUUGAUUUUUGAUGGUCAAUGAUUUUCUCUUUGUUUGAAAUAUGAAUCACGUGAACAUUGUUUCAAUUAGCUAGAUGAGUCCUAAUAAUAUCUUUACAAAAUCACAUAUUUUUCGAAAUUUGAAUUGGAUUAACUUCCUUAUAUCUGCAUUAUUGUGGAUUGUUUACUUGAUUUGUUUUUGUUGAGUGUGAAUGAAUACUUGAUCCGGGAUGAACCAUUACUAACUACGAUCAUGGUGGAUCCGGGAUAUGAUAUUGAUUGAUUCUGUGUUGAUUUUGUUAUUGCAGAAAACUUACAAAGCUGACUCGCAGACAGGAAAGUGGAGAAGUUUGACAACGUUUAUAAAGAGAGGUUUUGUUCCUGAGACCACUACGUGUACGUUUAUGUGUAUCUCUUUAAGAUAACCUGUAAGGAACCAUGGUCUGGAAUAUGAAUCAUUCCUGUAUACAAUGUGUAUGUUACAGCUCUCUUCCAGAUCAUGAGGACUGCAGCUAGCGGAGAUACGGCUUAAACCGAAUCACAUUCAAGCUAGAAGAAUCAAGUUUAGAAAUGAAUCAUUCUUCUGUUUUUCUCUUCUUUUACCGUAGAAUGCAACUUUAUGUUUACUUGUGCAUGCUAAUGUAAUAAAUAGUAUUUUCUACAAGUUAUCAUAUCUUCAAGUUAGUUCACUUGGUACGACCCACACGCAGUUGAAACUCUCUGUAUACAAGGAGCAAGUGUAGUUUCCACUAGAUCUCGUCAAGUCUUAUGAGGUUGAUUACUCACAGGUUUAAGGAGUUCUGACCAGGUACAGAGAGAUUAAAGGGAAGCAUGUGCGCACGUGGCAUGAUACUCGGGAUCGUUAGCCGAGAAAUCAGAUACGAUUUUUGUUCGAUUUUUUAGUAUAUCCUUUUUCCGAAUUUUAAAAUAAUAAAAACUUUAAAUAACUAUUGCUCAACAACCUUAGAAAAUUGAGCUUGUUCUUAUAUAAAAAUCUCCACUUUGCCAUUAUUACAUUUUUUCGGGCUUUACACUGUACGAAGCCCAAGUCAUUCUCUUCACACAUUAACUAAAGCCCAAUAGCAUUUAAUUGGCCCAAUAAGAAUAACAAAUUUCGAUCCACUUUUCUAGGUUUGCGAAGGUAAAGUUGAAACGAGGACGACCAUAAAAACCAACUCGAAAGGCAAUUAAAAACAAAAUAAUAGAAAUUUUCUUCAAGAUCGCGAUCUUCAAUCCCGAAUCCCUAAUCCAUUCAAGCUUCUCCUCUCUUCUCCGGCGUAAUCAUGGUAUACUUCCUCUAAAGUCAACCCUUCCCUUUUUGUUAAAUCUGUGCAGCUUCUUCUUCUUCUCUCUGUAACUCCGAUCUCCCAGAUCUGAUUCACGAGCUUAACUAUCAAUGUUUGAAUCACGCGAAGUUUGUUUUCAAUUAGCUAAAUUGAGAUCCUAAUUUCGAAUCGGAUUAGCUGAAUUUAUUCCACUCUUUGUUUUGUGGUUGUUAGGACGUUCGAUCUCCUGCUCCCGUUCCCGUUGGAUCUCGGCGGCGUGAUAACAAGUGGUCAUCUCGUUGGGGUCCUGACGAUAAAGAGAAAGAGAAAGAAACCAAGGUUGACUACAACAACAAGGAGGAGGUUCAAAGUGAGACUCAAUCUGUGAUUGGGAGCCUCCGUGACUCUGAGACUCGUGAUAAAUGGAGGCCACGUCAUCGGAUGGAGCAGGUCCAGAGUGGUGGACCAGCUUCUUACCGUGCUGCGCCUGGGUUUGGACUUGAUAAAGGACGAAGUGAGGGACGAAGUGAGGGUCCAAACAUAGGGUUCACCGUUGGUCGGGGUAGGGCGAGGGGUACUUGGUCUGCUUUCUUUGGCGCUGGAGGGUUCUUGAGAAACGAAAGCGUUCCUGGUAAACCUGCGCCUACGUGUCGGUAUGUGAGGGGGAAGUUGCUUGACUUGUAUAGAAACCAGAAGCCUGAUAGGAUGCCUAUUGAUAUGGAGGAGGUUGAUUCUGUAACUCAAGUGGCUUUGAUUGAACCUCUUGCUUUUAUUGCCCCUGGUGUUGAAGAAGAGGUAUGAUCCUUACUUGAGGACUUGCUUUUUUCCUUUCUCAUGAGUGUGUCAUUGUUUUGUAACUAAUUUUCAUGUGUUUGUGGUCUGGGUGUUAUAUAUUUAUUUCAGGAAAGCCUUAAGGGUAUAUGGAAGGGAAGGAUCACUAGUAGCGAAGCUCACACUUCACCUGGGGAAGAAUCUUUAGCUGAGGAGAGUAUGGGUAUGUGUAAUCUUGUUUUUUCGUUGCUUUGCUUCUAUCUUUCCAACUAGCUUGGAUAAUGAAUGCUUCUGUGACUUGAUUCAGGUGAGACGAAAGUGGAUGGUGCUUUGCUAGGGGUUAUGAGUGGUGACAGUGUUUCCAUGCAUAAUAGUAAUUCAGGUAUGUGAAUAAUAGGUGCUAUACGGGUAUUCAAAUUCAUGAGUAUUAAAGCUUAAGUCCAUUGUUAUGAGUUUGAUGGUAUUUUAGUGUUCUAUUAUAUAUUCUGACCCAUAUCCAAACAACUGUUGCUGUAGGAGUACUUGGUAGUCAUAAUGGAGGCUUGUGGGGUGCUUCUGAAAGUGAUCAAGUUUCUCGUGGAAGUCCUGAAGCAGUUAGAUCUGCUUUUGAUAAAUCUUCUGUGUUGGAUGCGGAUGAACCCAUUGUUACGGGAAAGCUGCAGCAACCUGAUAUUGAAGUGAAUCACUCCGAAGGGACUCUGCCACCUGAGGAGUUUAUGUUCUCGUACAUUGAUCCUCAAGGAGUAAUACAGGGACCGUUCAUUGGAUCUGACAUUAUUUCAUGGUUUGAGCAAGGGUUUUUUGGGACUGAUCUACAGGUCCGCUUGGCAACUGCUCCAGAAGGGACUC